UACGGAGGAUGCGAGCGUUAUCCGGAUUUAUUGGGUUUAAAGGGUGCGCAGGCGGGCGAUUAAGUCAGCGGUGAAAGGCAGGGGCUCAACCCCGGCAGUGCCGCUGAUACUGGUUGUCUUGAAUGCGGUCGAGGCCGGCGGAAUGUGGCGUGUAGCGGUGAAAUGCAUAGAUAUGCCACAGAACACCGAUAGCGAAGGCAGCCGGCCGGGCCUGCAUUGACGCUGAGGCACGAAAGCGUGGGGAUCGAAC
RNAcentral lists this ribosomal RNA (250 nucleotides) under uncultured prokaryote. RNAcentral's name for it is "partial 16S ribosomal RNA". It matches the Rfam family "Bacterial small subunit ribosomal RNA", at positions 524 to 773 of the family's 1533-position model. The record is from RNAcentral.